GGUUAAGUGAAUAAGGGCGCACGGUGGAUGCCUUGGCACUAGGAGCCGAUGAAGGACGGGACUAACACCGAUAUGCUUUGGGGAGCUGUACGUAAGCUAUGAUCCAGAGAUUUCCGAAUGGGGGAACCCAGCAUCUUUAAUAGGAUGUUAC
RNAcentral lists this ribosomal RNA (151 nucleotides) under Enterococcus faecium. Its description in RNAcentral is "partial 23S ribosomal RNA". It matches the Rfam family "Bacterial large subunit ribosomal RNA", at positions 1 to 151 of the family's 2925-position model. The record is from RNAcentral. Lineage: Bacteria; Bacillati; Bacillota; Bacilli; Lactobacillales; Enterococcaceae.